GCAAAGGCUUUGAUGGGAAAGAGUAAUAAAAGUAUGGCACUUAAAGAGAGUUUCCGGUGUGGUGUGAGGAAAUAGGUCAGCUUCUAUGAAUACGUCCCUGAGCCAGGCACCGAAAUGCGUAAAGAGUAGGCUGCCUCGGAAGACUGCACCCGUUACCGUGCUAGGGUAUGAAUGUACCCGAUAAGUUUUCUCAUGGCAACAUGAGAGAUAAAUUAAGGUGGUACCAUGGAGCUUAUGUCUUCAUCCUUUCA
This 251-nucleotide non-coding RNA is filed under the name Proteiniclasticum ruminis. RNAcentral describes it as "T-box sequence". It matches the Rfam family "T-box leader". From Rfam's summary of the family: Uncharged tRNA acts as the effector for transcription antitermination of genes in the T-box leader family. Lineage: Bacteria; Bacillati; Bacillota; Clostridia; Eubacteriales; Clostridiaceae. The record is from RNAcentral.